Molecule: long non-coding RNA, 2293 nt
Filed under: Theobroma cacao (cacao)
Lineage: Eukaryota; Viridiplantae; Streptophyta; Magnoliopsida; Malvales; Malvaceae
Description: long non-coding RNA (TCAC_LNC005280)
Source: RNAcentral
GACAACCGCCACGACGUCCCGAUAAGCACUCAUUACCCCGAAUGUCGAUCGAAACCCCGCAAGGCUUAGCAUCAACUUCCGCAUCUCUCCGGUGAGCGACAGUUAUUAAAUCUCGCAUUUCAAGAAAUCAUAAGUUGUUUCCAACUCAAAACAAUAAAAAUAUUAUUUUCUAGCUCACUGGGGCAUUUUCGUCAUUUUUUUUUUGAAAUUUCGAAAUCCGAAAAAAUGUAAUAUGUAAGUGGAAACACAUAUUUCAUGAUUUAAAUUAAAUUUUGAAGUCUAAAACAUUCGUUUAAAGUAAAAUUAUAGCUAUUUGAAUAUAAUAAAAAUAUUAAAUAAAAUAUUCUAUUUUCUUAAAACACAAUAUUUUCAAAGUCUUCCUAAAAUAACUUUUGUAGCGUAAGAGUAAAAUAAAUUUAUUCAUAUAGUAAUAAAGAUAAUUAAAGUAUGAAAUUUCGUUUACAGUGACACGUGGGCCCCCAACUAACCAAGAAGGUGUAGAGCUACGAACCCUUACUUCCUAUGAUGCAACUCCGAGAUUAAUUCUCGUCUUAAUCAACUAUCAACAAACUGUCCUGAGCCUGAAAAAUGGAUAGGAAGAGGGGUGAGAUUACAUAAUCCCAGUGAGUAAACAAUUACCAUCAAAAGCAUCUAAAGCCGAGUAGAUGGAGACAACAUAAAAACAUUAUAUCUCAAUAAUGUUCAUAACGCAAAAUUUGUUUCAAUCUAUACCAAACAAUUUAUUUUCAUCAAAAUUUCUCGGCUUAUGAAUUUCUUAAACUUGGCCCCUGCCAAAAUCAUUCUCGCGGGUACCUUCGUCAAGGUAUCCCACUGAGACCGCCAAGGCUGUUCAAUGACCCAUACCCAUAAACAUGUUUUCACAUCUGACACACAGCCGUUCCUUGGCGUUGGCUGAGUCUCACUCUCACGUGGUGGCCCGAACGUGAGGUGCACUCAAAUCAUACCUCAGGAGAUACUUCACCCAACAUCUCCCCCCGGAGGUAAGUAUAUAAUUGAGUUACCGUGCCCCUCUCAUAGGCAGUCCACGGAAACCCCCACCACUGCAGUGACCGUUUAAUAUACCACCAGACCCAUAAAAUUUCCAGUAGCUUAAUAUGGCGAAUAAAAUUUAAUCCAGUCUACCGAGACCAAUCCAAAAUUGUUCAUAUAUUUCAUGCCAACCCCAAAAAUUUAGCCAUCAUGCUACCAUAGUGUCAUAAGCCCCAAUUUCAAUAACAUAUAAAAUCAUAAAUUUCAACACAGUCUCCAUAUACUCAAUUUUCCCAAAACAAUAUUUGAUUUCAAAACCAGUAUAAAUCUCAUUUUUAUUAAAAAACAUUUUAAUUGGAAAACAUAAUAUUUUAUAAUUUAAACUCACCAUUCAAUAAAAGCAUCAAACAAGUAUAAUUACUCUAGAUAUUUAAGACGAUAAAUUGUCCACUCACAGUUCUAGGAGUCGAUGUACUCCUAAUCCCAGUCUUCAAGCACAAUUUCUGUACUUUUACCAGUGUAAUUUGCUCACCACCUAUCCACAAUGUACAAUACAUAAUUCACCACAUCAAUGCUUGACCAUUAUAAAAUCAAUUCAGGCUCGGUAUAUAUGCAUGAUAUGACAUGCAACUUAUCCGACUACCGCUUAAAUGCGGUGCUGACCUAAUUCGGCCUAUUACCCGAUUAAAUUACUAACGCGUCCAAUUUAAUCUCAAAUUAAUUUUUUUCAGUUUCUAUACCUCAAUUGCACCCAAAUUGACUUAAUGUCCCUCAGUGUGGUGCAAAUUAUCAGUCCUGAUAGCAAAUUACGAAAAUACCCCUAAUGGGUAAAAAUUCAUAUUUUUGCUCCGAAAAUUUCCAUUAUUUUUCUAGACUCAUAAUUCAUCAUUAUUCAUCAUAAUUCCUCAAAUAAACAUCAAGAUCAUCAGCCAAUAUUCCCCUAGAAAAUUCAGCCAAUAAUGGUAAUGGAGGAAAAUAAAUUCUUUUCUUGUUGUUUUGUUCCUAAAUAUGCUAAACUAACUUAAAACACUAACAUAACUUAAAAUCAAAUUAAUCUAACAAGUUUCUCUCUCCUAACCCAUUUUUCCAGAAUUGAAUUCAUCCUCAAAUCACAUGAUUCAACCAUGGAAAAUGAUGGGAAAUGCAUGGGAAAGGUAAAGCACAAGUCAAAAUCAAGAAAUUUUACCUUUGGUCACUUGUUUCCUUGAAUUUUCACCAAUUUUUCCUUGAAUUUCUCCCCCUAGGUUUUUGUUUUUCUUUUCCCCUUUGUUUUCUUGCUAUGGCCGGCCAUAAUGAAGAGAAA